This 164-nucleotide ribosomal RNA is filed under the name uncultured bacterium. Its description in RNAcentral is "partial 16S ribosomal RNA". It matches the Rfam family "Bacterial small subunit ribosomal RNA", at positions 355 to 511 of the family's 1533-position model. The record is from RNAcentral.
UAGGGAAUCUUCCACAAUGGGCGAAAGCCUGAUGGAGCAACGCCGCGUGUGUGAUGAAGGCUUUCGGGUCGUAAAGCACUGUCGUAUGGGAAGAACAGCUAGAAUAGGAAAUGAUUUUAGUUUGACGGUACCAUACCAGAAAGGGACGGCUAAAUACGUGCCCG